GCCAACAGUAUAGUGGUGUAGUGGCUUGAAUGUUGCUCAGGAGACCAGGGUUCGAUUCCCUGCUUGGGCA
Phrynosoma platyrhinos (Desert horned lizard) is the source of this 70-nucleotide non-coding RNA. The record is from the annotation of a GenBank genome assembly. Lineage: Eukaryota; Metazoa; Chordata; Lepidosauria; Squamata; Phrynosomatidae.